RNAcentral lists this ribosomal RNA (253 nucleotides) under uncultured bacterium. RNAcentral's name for it is "partial 16S ribosomal RNA". It matches the Rfam family "Bacterial small subunit ribosomal RNA", at positions 524 to 776 of the family's 1533-position model. The record is from RNAcentral.
UACGAAGGGGGCUAGCGUUGUUCGGAAUUACUGGGCGUAAAGCGCACGUAGGCGGACUAUUAAGUCAGGGGUGAAAUCCCGGGGCUCAACCCCGGAACUGCCUUUGAUACUGGUAGUCUCGAGUCCGGAAGAGGUGAGUGGAAUUCCGAGUGUAGAGGUGAAAUUCGUAGAUAUUCGGAGGAACACCAGUGGCGAAGGCGGUUCACUGGUCCGGUACUGACGCUGAGGUGCGAAAGCGUGGGGAGCAAACAGG